CAGUCGCCGCGGGAAUACGAAGGGGGCUAGCGUUGCUCGGAAUUACUGGGCGUAAAGGGAGCGUAGGCGGAUCGUUAAGUUGGGGGUGAAAGCCCGGGGCUCAACCUCGGAAUUGCCUUCAAUACUGGCGAUCUUGAGUAUGGAAGAGGUAUGUGGAACUCCGAGUGUAGAGGUGAAAUUCGUAGAUAUUCGGAAGAACACCAGUGGCGAAGGCGACAUACUGGUCCAUUACUGACGCUGAGGCUCGAAAGUGUGGGGAGCAAACAGGAUUAGAUACCCCUGUAGUCCCUGUCUCUUAUAC
Molecule: ribosomal RNA, 301 nt
Filed under: uncultured bacterium
Lineage: Bacteria
Description: partial 16S ribosomal RNA
Rfam family: Bacterial small subunit ribosomal RNA
Source: RNAcentral